RNAcentral lists this long non-coding RNA (32710 nucleotides) under Malus domestica (apple). RNAcentral's name for it is "long non-coding RNA (MDOM_LNC004302)". Lineage: Eukaryota; Viridiplantae; Streptophyta; Magnoliopsida; Rosales; Rosaceae. The record is from RNAcentral.
ACCAGAAACCUAUGAGUUACAAAAUUGCCUCCAAUUGCAAUAAUAAUACAUAGAAUAGUCUCGUAUAAGCAGUUCUCCAACCUAUUAAUUAAAAAUAUUUAUAAAAAAAAAAAAACUAAGCUUGGUGAUUGUAGUUCACCUUCUCAGCAGCUUCUGUGACUCUGAGUGGGGGAGUCUCAACAUCUUCAACGUCCAGUUCAGAAAUAGGAGCAAACUGUCCUUCGUAGUACCUGAGGAGAAAUAAACCCUUAACACCCAUUUUUUCAAAUAUAAAAACAUAAAUGUGAAGCAUCAACUUUUAGAACCAAAGAGAUUCAGUGCAAUUUUCAUGUCAAAACACUUUUAUCUCAAUAAUGAAGUACUUAUGAGUUACAUUGAUACAAGAGCAAUGCAUCCCACAUAUCACACACAUUCCUUAUAUCUGGAUCCCCAACAAUAGCAAUCCAAUGUCACCCACAUAGCACAUGAUACAUACCAGAGGUGUCCCUAGAAUGUCCACAUCAGCCAUUCCUUAUAUCUGUGUCCCCAAAAACAUUUGCAGUAAAAAGUACAUGGACUUAUGAGCACAAAGGGAUAACGGACAUGUAUGGGUUGACUUGAGAGAUAAACCAAGUAAAGUAAGUUCAAGAAAAAAUCUAGGACCAAAUAGGAUACAAGGUCAGAAUCAGUGUGACCCAUCUAAAAAGUUAGGACCCCACAUUAAUUUGUGCAGUCAACAACGAGGAUCCAUCUUUGGAUUAUUAUCCUAAAACGCUCUAUCUUUGGAUUAUAUCCUAAAGUGCUGCUGGUUAAGCUUGUUUCUGGUUUUUCUCUGUUGGAAAUUUCAAUUACUAACGAAAUAUCCAAUCUUCAUUUAAACAUACAGAUUUAAACUCAACUGUUGGCACUGCAGACUCUUGGCCAUUGUUGGGAUUGAAAUAAGCUAGAGUUUCUCAAGAUAAAUGCGGAUGAGGUGGGUUUUAUUUGAGAUAGCGAAUUCCAUGUGUUUGUGGAUUUAUUGCCAAAGCAAUUUGGGAAGAUCCCUGCUGUUUCCUCCAGAUGGAUGGGGUUAUAAUUUCAUUGUAACUUUUCUGAAGUAAGUUUUAGUUGGACUCCUUUUCUUUGCAAUGGACAACUUCUCCUCCUUUCCUUUAGAAAAUGCUUUGCUUUGCUGAAUUUUUCGUAACUCUUAGAAAUGUAACCCAAACUAAGAUGAAAACCCCCAACAUGACCGUAUUUUAAUAUGCUAUCACUUCUAAUCCUCUAUAUCUUUCCACUUGUUUCUCCAACUACCAUCAUAUGACUCGAGAGUUGUAUUGUGAGAAAGUCAUCUGUAUAUCAAAACUGAAAUCAAAUGAUCAUCUCUUCAGCACCCACAUGGUCUAUGUUCUAUAGCUUUCAACCCAAGUGAACUGAAAGCAUGAGACUCACAUUUUGAGUUGCGACUUUAUGUGCCUGAGCCAGGGUGCAUAUGCAUGAUUGCUUUUCAUUCAUUUUAGAAAUCAUUUGAAGCAUUGCUUCAGACAUAUAAUCUUCAAUCUUUUCACCUUUUUUUUUAUGACAAACAGUAGCGUUAGUGGGUUAAAAGUUUAUUUGUUAGGGGGAGGGGAAUCGAUGGGCAUCAAACCCGCACCAGGGUGCAUAUGCAUGAUUGCUUUUCAUUCAAAGUGUAGCAAUAUGGGGCUAAAAGAAUCACUCAGUCAAUCUUUCUCAACACCUUAGGCAUCCACAUACACAUUGGGAUCAUGUAUGUGAUCUACAAAAACGUUUAGGUGGGGAAUAACUCAAAGAGGAGCAUACCUUGUCAAUAGUUCCACUGCUUGUGAUCCAUAUCCAAUCUACAACAACGAAAAAUAAAUUACCAUUUCAACAGAUCCCUGGUUAUAGAUUACCAUUUCAACAAAAUCCUGGUUAUACAUAUUGCUUUGGAAACCAUAAUGAGAGAAUACCUUCAUGGCACUUGGAUGUGUAGCAAUUCGUACAAUCCGAGCACCUGAAAGACUGGGAAAAACUGUGUCCUGAAAUUGCUCACAGAAUUUCCAUGGUAUCUGGUCACCAGAAGGCUGAUGACCAUCACUUAAACUUUUCAUUGCAGAUUCACGAGAGAUCUUUCCCUCAAGGCAGACCUAAGAACAAAAUGAUAGCACAUAAAAUGUUGAGCAUCAAAGAAUUAGUGUUUUAUAGAAGAUGAAGUACGUGUUUAAAGUGUUGUCCUUUAUUGCUAUUUCACAUAAGGUAAAAUUAUAAAUAAAAAAACUAAUAAAAUUUUGGGUAUGCGUUAAAUAACUAAAAGAAAUAAUAGUCCUGAACUAGGGGAAGACAGUCAAACCUGAAUGACACACAAAAUAUCAGGAAGCUGAUUUUUUGACUCAUCAACAGGGCCUGCACGUGCAAAUUAUAAUCAAGUCCAGCCAAAUAGCGGCAAAAAAAGAAAGACCAGUUCUAACGUAACAUAUAUACCAAGUAGCACAAACAGGUGGUGAGCCGGGGCAUCAGCCAUUAGUUGCAAAUCAUUUGGAGAAUUUUUGUAGUGGGAGGCAACAUAUAGAGCCAUCAUCCGCUGCAAGUAUUAGAAUAUGUAAGUUCACUAAUAUGAAAAUGAGAAUCACUAGUCUGACAUUACUUGAACAUGUAAUUACCUGUAAGAACAACUCGCUAUCUUUAUGAUAUGAAAAAAGCGUAUCACAGUUUACGUAGUACAGAUCGCACUCACUGGGUGCAGGUAACCUAGCCGCCAAGAGAGAGAGAAGAGAGAGAGAGAUCAUUAAUAAAGGUAAGGGUUAUAAUGGAGAUGGUUACAUCUUCCUCGGUUCUGACUGUCUAAGCAAAUGUUUUUACCCGUUAAGUUUAGGGAUAUAAUUUGUGAUAUCCAAGCAAAGUAAACCAUGAAGCCAGGAUUCAAUCGGAUCACCAGAAGCAUAUCUGAUAGAUUCUUUCAAUUCUAUCUUUUUGAAAAGACGACCUACAAUCAGGGACAUUUAUCAAUUCAGAAAAUUAUGUCCAAAUAUCACAAAAUAGUUUUUAAAAAAUUAUACAUUGCUCACUUGCAAGCGCCAACAGUUCAAGUAUUUCAGAAACAAUAAUGUUAAGAGAAAGCAGAAGAAACAUUGAAUUUUGAAAAUAAAUUCAAGUUUUGGGGGGAAAGGGGGAUUUUGAUCCAACCUAAUUCAAGAUGAGAAUACAAAACACGGCCAAUAAGGAAUAAGCAUACCAGAUGUAGGCCCCUUAGCAGACACUUGGCUUUGCUCUUCCAAUUGCUGUAGAAGUUUUAGGGACAAAGACCGACCAGUACCUUCAUAGCUUUCAGUGUAAAAUAAAUGUCCUUUAGUAUUUAAAUUGCACUUAGAUUUUUUUUUUUUUACCAAAAGUUGAAUUCAGAGUUGACUUAUAAAUAGAAAGACAUCAAGCAUGAGUCAAGGAAAAGUGGAAACAGCCCAUGAAAAGUGAAAGAUCUUUCAUUCCCCCCCGCGGCCGUAACAGAAAGUGAAAAAGUGAAGUGAAAUAUGUUUCAUGAGACUGUUAAAACCAAAAAAGAACACAUGAUAAGAAUACACGACAUGAAGGAAGAAGAACAUGGAUGAAUCUUACCCAUUAACAGUAGAUGAAAGGAAGACCAGAUAAGGACCAAGCAAAGACUUCACUACUGGUAGUGGAAUAGCAGCUGCUUCAUCAACAACCAACAGUUCAACUUGGGAAAGCUUUUCAUGCUCAUGUGGCCGUAUAUACUGCAAGUACAAGUAACAAAAGUAAAAAACAAAUAGCCCCAAAAGCAAUGAGCAGUACAAAGUUCUUUCUUUUAGGCUACAUGAGGUGUAAAGGUCUAGACCACCUCACAAUCUCACAGGCAUGUUGAGUGCCUCUAUACCAUACAUACUGGAUUAGUGCCAGGAAGACACAUUAGGUUGACCAAAAAGUUUGGCGUUUCAGGAACAUGCUUUUAGAAGCAAGCUUCAGUAAUCACAAACCAUCUAAAUUAUGUUCAAUAUGCUCACACCAAUAACAAAAAUGAUGCACUUGGGCAAAAGUACAAUAGAAUUUUUGGAGUAGUCAAACAAAGACAACCACUAAUCAUAUAUGAGGGCAUACGACAUUUGAUGGGCAAAAGGUGAACACACUCAUGGCUAUUGUGAUGCGGCUAUCCAAUAGAAGAAUAUUCUCUAUUACAACUUGGUUAUCAACUUUUCAUGAGUAACAAUUCCUCCAUGUAUUUGUAUUUUGGUAUCAACUGACUAAACAAAAUCUUUAUUGCUAUUUUUUUAUAGAAAACGAGAUUUUAUUAAACAGCUAAAAAACAAUACAACACUUAGUGGACUAGGAAGUCCACCAUCAAAACGAAACAGCCCUGACAUAUGCCUCAACAUUCACCUCCAUCAUUAUAAAACAGAUCUGCAACUAUCUCACUGCAACUCCCCAAUCCAACAAAAUUACAUAAAAUGAAAGAUCCCAAAACCUUGGAGAGAGAGAAGCCAUAAGAAUGCCCAAUUCUUUCCCAAGAAUUCUCUUGUAAAUCCCCACUCUAAUUUUCAAAGGUUGCAAACUUGAAAUUAACAUAGAAGGUAACUGGCUUCAGAGUCAACUAGGAUAAUACUGGGCAUAUAUGCAGAGAGUAGGCAUAGUAGCAACUUUCAGGGUAUGGAAUAAUACAAAAGGAAAGGGAAGACCACAGAAUUCUCUCAGUCAUCUUAACUUGAUUUGGUACUAAGAAUAAGUUAUGUAUACACUUCCCACUGGCCCAUCUGUACGUUAAUAUAGAAAUAGAUUAUAUCCUGGCAACAAGGAAGUGAAAUACUCCUAUUUUUAUAUCAAUAUUGGGCACAAAUUAAGAGUUCAUCAAUAUAAUUUUACCUCAAUUGUAACCAACUGUGCAUAUAAGUUUACCUGAAUUGUUUGUCUGUGCUGCUUGUAUAUAUUGAUCUGUACAGUUGCUUUCUUCAACAAAGGGUCACUACUUUUCUGUACAUCAUAAUCUAUAUGUUCCUGCAAACAUAGUUUACAACUGUAAGCUCAAUAACUAGUGCACUGUUCGAAGUACAUGAUUGAAAAAUGAAGAAAACGGAGUGACCUUAUAACAAUUAAUGAAAGAUAAAAUGUAGUUCACAGAAUAAAACAUUCAAACACCACCAUCUUGAUAGUUAAACAAUUUCACUGUAAAAGCUAUUAAACUUAGCAGGAAAAAAAAUUUAAACUUUAUCUAACAUUUGAAUCUACAAUUUUCAAUUAGCAACUCUUGUCACAAAUGUUUAUUAGUGGGGUACGUUCUAAGAUAUUGUUAUUUGCUAAUUGUCGAGGAUUAUUUGGGAGUUAAAUCUCACAAGAAGGCGUAAAGAUCACAUUAGAAUUAGAUAUUUUACUAGGAAGCUAAAGAUCACAUUAGAACCACCCGCAGGAAUACAAAAAAACGACAUACCUUAUAGUCCAGUUGAUCAAAACCCUUGCAAACAAAUUCGAACAAGGUUCUUAAGUUCUCAGGGCUGGGUGCAGUUACAAAUAUAUUUGAAUACCUGUGAAGAUAUAUUUGUAUCGUCAAAACAUAGUACAUGAAUAUGAGUGUAGACAGCUACACAUACACCAAAACAGUUUUAAUACAUUGUAAAAGGCAUACUACCCUGCAGCAAUAGCUCCGGAAAUUGCCAAACCAAGUGCAGCCGAUUUUCCACGGCCUCGAGCAGCAAGCAAGGCAACAGUACUUCGGAGUGUCUUGUCCAAGAUUGCAUCAAGAAAUGUAGCAACAGCAUUUCCCUGUUGAAACAUUUACCAACUCAAACUAUGAGUCAUAUUAGUAAAUCACACAUGAUAGAAAAACUCAAAACUAAUACAAAUCAGAGAGAGUGCCUACCUGGUCCAACGUACAACAUUUCUUUAUUAAAGGGCCAACAGGAAAGGCAUCACUCAGCUGCUCUUUUAGAUCCUUCAGUUCCCUUUGUGACUCUGAUAUCCCUUCAGAGUCCUUCAAUCAUGAUCAGAAAACAAGAAAAAAGUUAUCAAAGUUAUCAAAGCUUCACAAACUCCUAGAAAGUAUCCUAAUAACCAUUCGGUAUACACACACUUGAAAAAUUACUUUUAUUCUUUUUGUCAUCUCGCAUAAGAUGCCACGAAAAUAAAGCAUUCCUCGAUUUAUCAGUUCCGUCCUAUAGAAAAGUUACAAGGCUAAAAGGUUACCUCUUUCACUGGAACUGGGGUAAUUGACCUCAUAUGAGAUGAAAUUGGUAAAAUAUUCAGCUCAUCAUCCAUUACUACACAUGAUUUGCAUGACGCAAGUGACAAUAAGAAACGCUCGUUAAAACGUCCAGUAGCCUUAGAAUGGGAUUCAGUUCGAAACCUAUCAUGAACAUCCUGAAAUCAAGAGGCGCUGAUAAGACUGUAUGGAGAUUUUUGCAUUUGAGAGAACGAGAAAGACAGUGUUGCAAAUAAAACAUGACAUAACGGAAUUGUUAUCAAAUAUAAUAUGUGGUGCAUGGCUAUUGCUAUAUUCGUUCUAAGUCCAUAAUGUAGUAAAACUAGAAACUACCUCAACAAGAAGAACAAAUAUUAUGAGGAAACCUAGUUGUUUUUUCUUCUUCUUUUUGGGGCUAGAACAUGAAAAGAAACAACUAGUCUACAUAGGCCCAACUGGGAAACUUAUAUGUUCAGCAGCAUUCUCUUAAAGAAAGUCAAGCAAUUGAAUCUACCAAAAGUCUUCUUGUAGCCAAGCACAUCAUUACGAAAAAAUUCGGAAACUUUUAACAUGGCUAGUUUUCAAGAUUUUGCGGUAUAUAAUAAGCAUAACCAUGCUGGCCUAAAAACUAAGCAUUAAUUGUGUGCAUGCGUAAGAGAAAGAGGUAUUAUUAUAUGCAUACCAUAACCAUGGUGUAGAGGUUGGUGAGUGAGGUUAGAGAAUGAAGCAACAAUAUGACUAGUCCACCUCCCUCCACUGUCUCUAUCGUUCUUGCUAGUAGAUUUGGAGUCAAGGCCUCAAAAUCCUAAUGCAGGAGAUCAAACUUAGUCAUAAAACUUAAAUCAAUUAUACAAGGGGUCUUGGCCAAACCAGUAAAUUUGUAAGUUUCAAGUUACCUGAAGUAUACACAUUCCAAAGGUAUUACCAAGAACUCUUUCUGAAUCCUUGUACAAGCAAUAAGUCAAUCCCCCACUUUCAACAAAAAGUGAGAAAGGAUCAACCUUCUCGGGAUCAAGCAGCCCCCUCUGCAUCAUCUUUUUUACUUGCUUAGCACGUUUUUUCUUGUGACUGCAUCAUGAAGUAGUCAAACGCAACGAAUCAAUAUAUUUUAAAAACGAAAUUCCGCCUUGCCUUAUAAUAAGGUGAAGAAUGGAAGGUAGAAGAAAUCAACCUGCUGAGCUCGAGCUUGUCCUUGUAGCACCACAACACAGUCGGGCGCGAUUUCUUUACUUCAUUGCUUAGCAUAUAAUGAAGAUUCACAAUCUGAAGACCAUAUAAAACUCCAUAUUAGCCAUUUUCCGUUAGUUUUCGAUAGAUUUUCGAUGAUAUUUCUUACCUUGUUUGAGGUUUUUAGUGUUACUCGGUGAGUAUUGCAGGUGAAAACAAGAAACAGUAAAACUGGUAAAAUUUUCUACCCAAUUCAAUUUAAAUCAUUGUUAUAACUCCUCAAAUUGAAUAGGAAUAGCAAAUAGGGAAUGGGAUAGGAAAGGCAGAAGAAAUUAGGAGUACCUGGUCACGGGAUUUGUCGCCGACGAUGACGAACAUGGAGCGGUGCCGGUUUUUGACGCCAUUGCUUAUUAGGGUUCGGAUUCGUUCGUCCACCUUCUUCCUCAUUCUCUCUCUCUCUUCUCUCUCUGUGCAAUUAGGUUUAGGGUUUAUACCAUAGGGCAGUUGUCGUCGUCGGGCAGGGUUUAAGCCGAACUAGUGAGAGAGAGACUAGACAUCGCGGAGAGAUAUUGAGUUCAUCUCAACCGUUGAUUGGCUAUCUGAUGGCUGUUAUCAAAGCUGACAUAAAAAUGAAAACUCAACACGUGGCCAAGUAUUUUUUUUCUCUCUUUUUUGGCUUAUUUAUUGAUUUGCCCCAGAAAUUAUUUUUUUUGUCUUACUCUAGGUCAUGAAACAGAAUUUAUCUUACUUUAUCUUCUAAAACUACCAAAAUCGAGUCAUUUCACCCAUGUUUUGUCAAUUCUAUCUCAUAAACGUUAAAUAAAAGGGAGUCUAAACAUUUCAUACCAUGCUAGCAAAGAUGAGCCACUGUUGUUGGUGAGGUACGAAAUUUUCAAACUUUCCUAAACCUUUAAAACUUAAAAGGUAUCUUGAAUAUGAACGUAAAUGAGGUAAAGUUGCUCAAUUUUGGCAAUUUAUGAAGGGUAAAAUGAGACAAAUUCAAUUUAAGGCUAAAGUGAGAGUAAAUGGCAGUUUCAUGAGAUAUAUCAAUAAAUAAAUCUUUUCUAGAAUACAACUAAAUUAUGUACUCACGGUAAAAGAUAAAUUAAUAUCGAACUUGUCAUUGACGAUAUCUAAACAUAAAACCUUUCAAGUUUUUACCUAUAAGAAUAAAUUUGGUAUAGUAAUUUCUUUUCUAAUUUAAAGUUUCCCAUAGAGUUAUGACGAAUUUGAUACCAAAUUAGGCUGUCAUUGUGUGGCAUAGCCGAAUUCCUCCUCCCUUACUUUAAAAAUAACGAUGUACUCAAAAAAAGUUUCCCAUAGAGUUAAAAUGAUCUUUAGUUGCUUGCUGAGACAACCCAUAUGUAUAAUAAGACAUUGAAAAAGGUGCCUCUGUCAUUUACACUCACACGAUCGAAUAAGUAGCUCCGACAGUUGCAUCAUAAAAUUAAGGGGUUUUCCGAGAUUGUAGUAAGGUUGACGAUUAAAGUUUGGGAAAUUUUCAGGUUAAGGAAUCAAGGGAUCACAUUUUCAAGUUUCGUAGGCAUUCUCUUUCCUUUGGAAUGGUGUUGGAAUCCGUCCUGAAGUUGCCCAUUCCUUUGCUCUUGAUUUUCAGAGUUGGAUAGCUAUAAACCUUAGGACACAUUGUACCACCAUACAUGGUUUACCUUGGAACCUUAUCUUUAAUUCAACUCUCUGGCAUUGCUGGAAAUGGAGGAAUAACUUUGUCUUCAAUGAUGGCCAACAACCGCUUGACUCACCCCAGAAUUUCAUUUUUCAAUUUGCAAGGGAAUGGUGUGAUGCGAACAAGUGUUCUUCUAGUAAGCCUCCUAGACAAAAUCAUCUCAAUCCAUUGGAUUCGUUUGCCAAUUGGUAUACAAAAUCAAUACAGAUGGGAGUUGUAAAGACCCAUUUAGCCACAUAAGUGCUGGAGGUUUGCUUCGUAAUUCUGAAGGGAAAUGGAUUAAGGGAUUUGCUGCUAAUUUGGGCAGAGGAACCAUCAUGGAAGGUGAGCUUUAAGGGUGGUUUCAUGGGACUUUCUAUAGGUUGGGAUGAGAGUUGCAAGGAAGUGAUUAUUGAAUGUGAUUCUUAUGCUGCUGUUACUUUGAUCCAACAACCUAUUUUAGUUCCCACUCUACAAUCUCAUUAUUGACUGCAAAGAAGCCAUUGAAAGAAAUUGAAGAUGUGAAGUUACUCAUAUCUAUAGAGAAAAUAAUGUCUUAGCUAAUCACACGUCUGACUUAGGUCAUGGGUUAUCACUUGGUCUUCAUGUUUUUGCUUCUCCUUCUACCAUUGCUACUAAUUUUAUAGUUUCUAAUACUAUUGGCAGGGCCCUCCCUAGAGCUGUUUUUUAGUAGCUUUUUUGUUUUGCUUGUUGGGCUUUGCCCUCUUCUGUACCCAAAAAAAAAAAAAAAAAAAAAAAUAUUGGGAAAUUUAUUUGGACCCAACUUUUUUAUCUCUACACCCAAAUAAUAUUUUCUCUUAUCUAAUCUUCCAAAUUUGUCCUUAAAUAACAAACAUUGAAGUUUUCUUUGUAUCUCUACACCCAAACCCCACGAUCCACCACUGUAGGGCGCUCCAUUAUUUCCGACAAACCCAACUCAAACGCCAGCAACACUAAAAUCGACAAAUCAAGACUGGAGAACAAAUGGUGUAGGAGUCCUAAUGUGAAUAUUAAAGCAAACUUAAGUUGCAAAACCCUUUUUUAUUUCAAUCGAUGAAAGGACCUUGGGUUAUGAACAUAAGGAACCUAUUAGGGUUUAGAGGUCCCCUCCACAUCAUAUGCAUAAGCCCUUUUUCUUCAUUCAUUAAUUUACGGAAGGGAAAAUUAAUACUAUUAUUCUCAUAAAAAGUGGGAAUACCAAGGAAAGAGAUCCUCUCCACACCAUAUAUUUUUCUUUUCUGAGUAGUUAUAUCCAAUGGAGAGAGGAAAACAAGAGCACCAAUGGUCGCAGGUUCACCGGAGAAAAUGAAGGUGCAGUGGUGAUGUGAGUUUAGGGUUAUUGGGUGUAAAGAUAACAACUUUAAUAUUUAUUUUCUCAUUUUUAUUUAUUUAAGGGCAAAUUUGAAAGUUUAGUAGAGAAAAUUUGUUAGUUGGGUGUAGAGAUAAAAAGGUUGGGUCCAACAAAAUUUCUCAUAAAGUUUAAUCACGCGAUUAAGUUCUUGUGCAAUGAGUAAAUUGUAGCAAUGACCCAUCAACUAAAAAUCCAUUAUUAUUGAUCCCUCAACUCAUCAAAAUAUGUAGUUAUGGUCAUUUUCGUCAACUUUGUAAGAAUUUUGUCAAAAUAAAUUAUGUUGGAAGGACCAUUGUUACAAUUAAGGUCCUUCAACUCAUCAAAACAUGUAGCUAUGGUCAUUUUCGUCAACUUUGUCAAAAUGAGUUAUGUUGGCAUGACCAUUAUUGCAAUUGGGUUAAAGUUGAGGAAUCAUUGCUCCAAUUGGGUUAAAGUUGAGGGAUCAUUUCUCUAGUUAGAUUAAAGUUGGGGGACCAAUGAUAAUUAAGUUUUAGUUAAGGGAUCAUAGUUGCACGUUUUGAUGAGUUGAGAGAUCAAUGAUAAUGAAUUUUUAGUUAAUGGAUCAUUACUCCAAUUGAGUUAAAAAUAAAGGACCAUUGCUACAAUUUACUCUUGUGCAAUAGAAGAUUAAUUUGGCCGAACAACCUGAUUAAGGUGCCUACUUUCUCUUUAAUUCAUUGGUAUCAUUUAUUUUCCCUUAAGCUGAAUUAUGCUCAAUUUAUGUAUCAAUAUUGUAAAGUUGUCUUUGUUAGAGUAAUUUGGACAAUAUAAAUUGAAAAUUAUUUGUGUAUAUGGAAAAGAUUAACCUCAGGGGUCACUUCGCCGGACUCCGUAGCAAUCUCCACCACUCCAAUCGUAAUGGUGAGUAAAUCACUUGUGUUUGUUUCCAUUUUUUCAAUUGGAAAUUGGGGGUUUUGAAUUCAUAUUUUGUCAAUUGGUUUUGUGAGCACUGAGAAUACACUACGAGCUUGUGUGUGUGUACAAUAUGUUGGAUUUGAUCUUUAUAAAGAAUGCGAGAAAUUGGGGUUAGGAAAGAGAAGAAAAGGAAACAGAACUCGAACUUCGAUCUUCAUUCUUGUUACUAAAGGAGAAAACCGAAUUUGAACCGGUUCAUACGUAAUCGAACCGAAUUUGUAUAGUUCGGUUCACCCCUUAGUACCGAACCGUACCAUACCAAAAAAAAUUUCUUGAGUUUGGUUUUGAUACAUCCCUCAUACUGUACCAUACCAAAUCGUGGCCAGACCUACUGAAUACAAAACUUAUAUCUGGGUCGUAAGUCGUAAGGCCUCCAAAAAAAAAGUUCAUAUUAUUCAUACCAAUCGGACAAAUCCCGCACCCAAAAACAAUGGCUAGAUAGAAAGUUCAAUUAUAGAUUAGGUAAUCUAUCCUUUUCAACUUAAAUGCACAUUCAUGAUGGUUAUGCAAAUCAUAUUAUGUUAACAAAUGCAACAAUUAAUUAUAUUUAUCCAUUUGGAAUGAUAUAUAUUUUCAAAGAUGGAAUUACAGACCCCGUUGACGUUGAGGCCAUUGCAUGAGAGAAUUUUAGAUGAUUUUCAAUUAAUUUAUAUUAUUGUUGUGAUAACCAUAAUAAUUAUUUUCUAAAUGUAAAACUAUAUUAAUGAAAUUUUCUUUGUCGGUCAAAAGAAGAUGAAAAGAUAUCUUUAUCUUCUAUCACAACAAAAAAAUUAAGGAUAUUAAUGUAAUAGGCUAAUAGCGAUGGGGUGAAGAAAUGGAACUAUCCUAAAUAGGCAGUUGCUGGUUAUAUUGGAUCAGGUGGUCUGAAUGAUUGGAUAAUUAGCAAAUAAAAAGGUUCCAUUUUUCAUGGACCCUCAAGUGGAAAUAUGGGAUAAAAGAUGGCAUAUACCAUUUUAUCCAUUUGUGAUUGUACAUUUUGAUGGUUGUGAUUUCACCCGAUGGCGCGGCAAGUGUGGAUUGGGAUAAGGAUGGUUUUGGUCUAUCAUCAAAGAUGGUUUGAUGUUCACGACUGGAUUUUACAACGCAUCCAAGUGCAUGGGUUCUAUAAAUACAGAGUUGCGCACAAUAAAAAAGUACAAAGGACCUUCAAACCUUUCACACACUCUGAGAAACUCCUGAUUCUCCCAACUUCGUCAACACAUCUUCAAUUUGGAUUAACAUCACUGUUUGUCAGUGAGGAGUCCUUAGUCUUCUCGUCUCAUUAGCCCUCUAGGUGAAGUGAGGUGUUACUGAAUUACUUGAGUAUUCAGCACAUUGAAAGUCGAACCUUAUUUGAACUUCACAGUAGUUAGCAAUCUUAUCUUCAGGUUUUAGAACCCAAUGCCAAGACAUAUUCCUUCCUCGACAGUGAUGGUUUGUACACAAAAGUUGGUUUGUACACAUAAGUCAGUAUUGUGUUUGACACACCAUCCCAUUCAUUCUACUAGCCCACAAACGCGUGGACUCGUCCAAAAUUACCCCACUCUCGGCCCGUUCACUUGCCCACUCGUCCCACGCGGCCCGUGAGUCUUCAGUGCCUGAUAGGGGGGCCUACUGUUAGGGCCGUUGUUGGCCACAACCCAGAGCCCAACGAUUUUUUUUUGCAUCCCACGACUGGCAUUUUUGGACCGUUGGUUGAUCCAACGGUCCAGAUUCAAAUUUUGUUUUUUUAAAUGUUAUUUUAAAAUACAUUGAAUCCAACGGCUGAGAUCGAAUAUAAUCAAAUCUAACGGUAAAAUAAAAAAAGAUAAAAAAAGAUAUAACAGUCCAAAUUUAAAUCCAACAGCUAAAAUAAUUUUAAAAAAAAUUAUUUAACUCAAAAUUCACCCAAAAACUCUAUAAAUACCUUUGUAUUUGUUCAAACAUCCACACAAAACUCAAUUUUCUCCCACAAUUCUUCCAUUUUUUCUUUCUACCAUUUCUUUCCAUUUCCAAAUUGUUCAACACGAUCCUUGAAUUGGCCAUCCCAAGCAGUAAGACAAUUCUUCCACUCCCAAAGCAUACAAUCGAGACUUCCUAUCAUGUCAGGAAAGCCUAUUUUGUCUGCUUUGAGUAGAAUGUGACGACAUGUCCCGAAUUAUUAUAUAUUUUUCUCCCUAAGUGUGUAAAGUGACGGUAAUGCCCUCGUGAUUUAGUGACGUGGAUGUACAUAUGUAGUUUUAAAUUAUUAUUUCUAUUGUCGUAGUUAAAUUGUACUCGACGCCAUGAGUGUGUUGAUGUGACCUAGGGCUAAAACAAAUUCGUAACGAAGAAGUUACGAACAGACGAGUGUGUAAAUGCGUAGAAAUAUAUUUUUAUGGGUUGGCUAUACCUUACCCACCAAUCACCUUAAUUCCUGAUUUCUUUGGCCUAAUUGAAUUAAAAAUAUCUCUCAUUUUUCCUUCUGCCCAAUCACGCACAUACACACCAUCACUCUCUCUCUUCUCUCGGACCUUCUUCUUCUUUCUUCUCAUUCCGUACACCCGAGCCACCCUUACCUCACAAUCAUCAUCAAAACAUUAUGGAUCGAAUUGGAAAUCACUACCAUCGCAGUCACCUCGAUCCCACGAACUCAUUGAUACCCUUAGGUCGAGGAAUAGACGUCGGGAAUUCGAGAACUCGGGAGCUCUGGCGAGGUGUAUUUUUCUACUUUGUGAUCGUGGUCUUUUUCUAUGGUUUAAAGGCUUGAGGUGGGUCCUAAUCAACUUUAUAGGGACCCUAGAUUAGUUUUGGAGCAGUUUGAACGUUGGAAUAGGUGAGAACAUGGAGUUGCAGGUUGGCCGGUUGAUCCAAGCCUUACUCCGACCACUUUCUGUCGGUUUUAGAACCUCAAGUAGGUAAGAUUGUAUUCUUCUAGUUGAGAGUUUCAAAUCCAUAUAAAAUUCAUGGAAUUUGGUUGAAAAAUGAUGAAGAUAUUAAAGUUUUAAGAUUUUUCCAAAAAUCAGCGACACAAACGGCGCCCGACGGCCAGCGAUGGAUUCCGACAAAGCCAUCGGAGAAGGAGGAGAAUAUUAUGUCUAACUUUGACAGAAUAUACUAACAGCGUCAGGUAACUCUAUUAGUUUUUAAACAAAAUAUUCUACUAUUUAAUGAAAUAUUCCCUAACGCCGUUAGGGAUUCCGUGCCUGCACGUGCCGGCUUAUGAGGGCGCGUGAGACGUCAGGAAAUUAAUCUAAAAAUAUUGGGGUGUUCGAGUUGUUGAGUAGGUCAUGUUGGUAUAUUCAAACACCCUAUUUGAGCAACGUAUGAGAAGUUAUUCCUAGGGUUUGUGUAUGUGCCUUAAAAUUAAUGUAAAAUUAGUUAUUUCGCAUAUAGGUGAGACUUACCCGGAGGACAAACGUGGUCAAACGAGACUUGGGGGCUACGAUCCUACUACUUACCAGUGAGCGGGCUUUUUUUUUCUAUAUAUAUGUAAAUAUGCUUAUGAAUCCCAUAAACUACUUUAAAUGAACGUAUGUUUUAAAUGCCAUGUCGUGUGCAUUAUGUGUUAGUAUUGCAUUAGUAUAGCUAUGCAUAGUAUUGGAUGAGACUGCGCAGACUCAGGUAAGUUUCAGGUGAGUACAUCAUGAUGGUAUUGGGUGCGUGUGUGUGGUUAUACGUUGAUGCAUUUUGAGCUUAUUAUCCUGCACAUUGGUGUUAGUGUUCUCGCCCAUGGCCAGGGCAUAGUUUUUCACAUGAUGUUCACCUCCUGGGCCGCACGCUCACUUUGGAUCCAAGUUUGGUGCACAGCCAUAUUGCACAGACCACAAUAGGUGGUUCCGACUCGUAGGUGACCUGCAAUUAUUUGCACAGCCUUCACGUGAUCGUAGCACUUAAGCGUACUUAUCUACACCCAGCCCUGUUGUACAGACCACAAUAGGUGGUUCCGACUUAUGUGCAUGCAUACUUGAUGAGCUAUAGAUUCAAUUGUACAGGUUACAUUAGGUGACUCCGGUUGGCAUACUAUUUUAGGUUGAUUCGUAUCACCUGGCUUACACAUUUUAUGGUUGAACAUCUUGACAUGGCAUACCUCUGUUUUCACUGCUCUAAGCAUUAUCCUUAUGUACCUAGUUGUUAUUAUUUUCUGGAAAAUUAUAUGGGUUUACAGUGAGGGGUUAGUAUGUUCAUAAAGACAACUGUGUUUUCAAAAACUUUGUUUUUGCCUACUCACAUUUUUUGUUUUGCACCCUUUCAGGUUCUAGGUAGUUGGUCAUCCUUGGUGGCUCACGAGGACUUUCACGGCGGUUCUGACAUCUCUGUAAAUAAGUAGGGAUUUUUUUCCCUGUUUGUAUAAUUAGUACUUAGUUGGUUCGAUUGCACUUUCGUUUACCCAUGCUCUGAUAUUUGUAUAACUUGCUUGGUCAUCUUUACUCACUUAUAUUAUCUUAGUUUAGAUAAGUUUGGUUUUAGGUUUUUAUUUAUUCGCAUUUCUUUUAUUAUUACUUCUGUUGCGCAUUUUGGCUACGUUACUCUUACGUGACGGGCAUCAUGUUUCGACUUCGGUUGGGGUGUGUCAUAAAAGCCUCUUCAAGUCUUCAUGAUUUGGCUUGCAGAGAUAUGUGGCUCCAUAUGUGGCCUGAAUUGCCCCACAGAAGCGCUCCAGGUUUUUAAUAGCAGUAGUCUCCGCAAGUCGGCAAUACUCAUCAGUUGAGUUUGCAGAGCACUCAUUAGCUAGCAUCCGAAAUGCAGAUGUGAGCUUCUGAUGAGGUGAUAGACUUUGUCGGCCUACGACAUUUAUCUUCCUUGCAAAGUAGUGGUCAUGAUUGACAACUGUGUUCAAGAUGCUUUCAAAAAUCUCUCUCCUCAUUCGAAACCGUCUCCGAAAAUCAUGAGCAGGAAAUCUCGGACGCUCAAUAAAAUAAUAUUUCAUCAUUCGGUCAUGACACUCUUCUCUAUCACGUUGCACAAAUGAACGCUUCGUGACAUAACCACAAUAGCUAGAUUCGACAUGGUGCUCAUAUUGCAUAAGCGAGUUUGGAAGUUUAGCUUAUGCGUUGAUCAUUUUUGAAUCCUCAAUGUCAAGGCUUGCUUGGUAUUAUGUCAUUUGCAUUGCCCUGCUACACCUUCUUCUAUCAUCCAUUGUUGAUAUAUUGAGGAUUUUUAUGAAACAAAAACACUUUGAAAGUUGAAAGAUUAGUGAAUAUAGGGAAUGAUUGAAGGUUGAAAGAUUGUGUGACCAACUGAUAUUGAACAUGUGUUUAUAUAGAGGAUGAUUGAUGAAAGUUGAAAGUUUGGUGAAAGUUGAACGGUUGGUGAAAGUUGAAGAUUUGUGAAAGUUAAAGACUUGCUUUGUGGAAAGAUUUAGUGAUUUUUUCAAUAUUUAUUGGAAUUUAAAUAUUUUUAUAUUAAAAUGUUCAUAAAAUUAAUUUACCAUAGGCUACAUAAUUUUUUUUAAAAGUUAAUUUAAGAAAAAAAAUUAGCCUAAGUUCAUUCUUUAAUAAUCCCGAACUAAAAUUUUAGGCUAGGGUUGGAGCAGAAAAACUGUUUCUGUGUUAAAAGCUAAAUUUUUUAGAUUAAAAAUUUUAAAUUUUAACCCAAAGGUUGGAGAUGAUUUAAGAAUGGAUAAACUUAACCAAGAAAAGAAGAAAAAAGAUGAAGGGCAAAUAAGUGAGAAGCAACAUGACACGACACACGGACGACCAUAGCAAUAAAGCGUGCGUCCUCACGUCCAUUGAAUAUAUAGAUGGGAGCUACAACAUCGUGUUUCACGUGCAUGUGUAUUAUACAUAAAGGCAUAUACAGUGUUAGCUUAUAUAUUAUAAAGUUUGUAGGCCACUUACCCAAUUUGGCAUAUGUUUUAUCUUUUUACGUGAAUAACCAAUGUGUUAUGAUGAUACAAGUCUCUUAACAUAUCCGGAGUUAGAAAUAUCAUAAGACAGUGUUGCGAUCAUAUUGAAAUUAAUUGACAGUUUGUAUUAUAUAUUUGAUUAUUCUUUAUUAACUUAAGGAGACAGCAUACUUAGACCUAAUUUAGUCACAUUCUCCAACCGAAAAUAAAGCGGUGUAGUAUUCAUACACUUUUUUUUAUUUCUUACACAGUCUUAAUUAAUUUCUAUUGUUUGAUCUUCUUCAAUUCAUUCGAUCUGACGACCGAAAAUUAAGAUGGUGUGUGGACGAGUAAAUUAUAACAAUGGUCCCUCAACUUUAAUCAAAUUGGAGCAAGGGUGCUCAACUAAAAAUCCAUUACCAUUGGUUCCUCAACUCAUCAAAAUGUGUAGCUAUGGUCAUUUUCGUCAACUUCGUUACAAUUUUGUCAAAAUAAGUUAUAUUGGAAUGACUAUUGCUACAAUUGGGGUCCCUCAACUCAUCAAAACGUGUAGCUAUGGUCAUUUUCAUCAAUUUCGUUAGAAUUUUAUCAAAAUGAGUUUUGUUGGAAUGACCAUUGCUACAAUUGAAUUAAAGUUGAGGGACUAUUAUUUCAAUUGAGUUAAAGUUGAAAGAUCAUUUCUUCAGUUGUAUUAAAGUUGAAGGAUCAAUGGUAAUGAAUUUUUAGUUGAGGGGACUAUAGCUGCACGUUUUAAUGAGUUGAGAGAACAAUAAUAAUGAAUUUUUAGUUGAAAAACUAUUACUUCAAUUGAGUUAAAAUUAAGAAACAAUUGCUACAAUUUUUUUAUAUGGAAAGUGGAUGAUGUGAAUAGCACAUCCAAAAAUAAAAGGGAACUUUAACGAAAAGCACCCGGUACUGUUCACUUUAACGAAAAACCACAUUUUUACACUAAAAAGUCAAUCCUGGUACUAUUCACUUUACCCUUUAUUUUGUCCUUAUCAUUAAAACUCAAAGUUUUCAAGCCCUUUUCAUUAGUUUUCCUAAAAUAAAAUGCACCACAAUUUGGUAGGAUCUUCCUGUUGAGAGUAAUAAAUUAAUAAUUGCCGAAAUAUUGGAUAAUUUGUCGGCCACAACGCUAUGAGGGAGUAUCUGGGGAUGAAUAUACUCUUGCCGACAGAUGCCCAAAUUCCAACUGCCAUUCAAAUGAGCCCUCCACCACCACCGGCCAUAAUAAAUUCUCUUUCUUUAGUGAAGAAGAAAAAGAGGUACUUGGCCCUCACCUCAACUUUUUGAGAAAGAACAAGUUUAUCGCUAUCAGAAUGUUUCGGUCAAUUAUAUAAGUUAUGUGUAAAUUUUUCUUUAGAUAACAUUACAUUAUUAUAUUUAAAAUGUUCCGUAACGAUAAAUUUGUUUCAUACAAAUUAUUCUCCAACUUCUUGGAUUUUUCUCCUUUUUCCCGAAAACCAGCUUAUAUUAGUGUUCAUCCUCUGUCAAUAUCACUCGCCCACAACUAUUCAACUAACUUUUAAUAAUUUGACAACGUGUCAUAUUUUUGUGCAAAGCGGGCCCAUUUUUGUGGGUGAUAUAAUAAUGGCGUAUGUGGUUUGUCAAGACAUAUACUCAUUUAUCCAUUAGCAGUUAGGUAAGUCACCUCACUCACCCACAGCCUAACACAUCAACAAAUAUUGCUUACAAAUUCUAGAAAAUUCGACCAAGAAAAAAAACCAAAUGCUCGCAAAUUAAAAUUGUGUAACAUGAUUAGUUUUUUAUCCAUUAGUAUUAAUUUUACGUUGGAAGAAAUUCCAAAUUUAUUCUUGUAAAGAGGGAUAUGAAAAUACUUUGUAUGUCUAUCACCAAAAUCUUCGAAUGUUUGAAUGGUUGAUUUUCAAGUCUCACACAAUUGGAUUUAGUUCAAGUGAGAAAGAAAUACACUCAAACUAUUAGAUAUGAGGAAUGAAAAUACACUACAAAAUCUUGUGAACAUUUCUAAUAUUCUCUUCUAUCUACUUUUUGUGAACCAAGUUUUUAUUUGUUUUUUUUUUUAACAAAAGAUAUUUUUUAUACUAGGGAAAUAAGGUGGGUUUAGCCUCAUAAUGGGCUAACAUAAUCUAGUUCAAACUUGCAUUUGGUGAGAAUCGAACCUAAAAUCUCUCACUUACAAGUGAAGAGGAAUACCAUUAGAAGUGUCAUGAAAUUAGCAGUCUUAUAUGUAAAAAAUUGAUUGACUAAAUGCUGUGUUAAAAAACAAGAUUAAUACUUGCAUCUCCCCACUUGGAAAAUGCAAAUAUUUCAUUUCUUGCAAAUAACGUAUAUCAUGCGUUCUGUUCAAUCGCAUAUUCAAAAAUGUUAAAAACAAGAUUAAUAUUUCUAUCUCCCCACUUGGAAAAUGCAGUAUUUCAUUUUUUACGAAUAACGUAUAUCCUGUGUUCCGUCCAAUCGCGUAUUAAAAAAAUGUGUGAAGUUUGGAUUAACUACACUCUUUGAGAAUUUCCUUAAAUAACCACUUUUUGAAAAUUUCUUAUAGGACUAAGUGAGUCUCCGCUGAGAAUUUCCUUAACUAACACAACACUACUUGAGUGAUAAUUUGUUAUAUCUUGAAUAGAGAAUAAAUCAGUUCCCUACUUUUGAAGGUACUAUUAACUUACACUAUAUUUGAAUGAGAACAAUAAACUUAGAAUUUAGAUGAAGGAAAUAAAACAGUUUCCUACUUUUGAAGGUACUACUCGAGUGAUAAUUUGUUAUAUCUUGAUAACGUGUCAUAUUUUUUUGCUAAGCGGACCCAUUUUUGUGGGGUGGUAUAAUAAUGGCGUUUGUUGUUUGUCAAGGGCAUAUACCCAUUUAUCCAUUAGCAGUUAGGUCACCUCACUCACCCACAACCUAGUACAUCAACAAAUAUUGCUUACAAAUUCUAGAAAAUUCAACCAAGAGAAAGAAAACCAAAUGCUCGCAAAUUAAUCUGUGUAACAUUAGUUUUUAUCCAUUAGUAUUUAUUUUACAUUGGAAGAAAUUCCAAAUUUAAUCUCGUAAAGAGGGAUAUGAAAAUACUUUGUAUAUCUAUUAUCAAAAUCUUUGAAUGUUUGAAUGAUUGAUCAUCAAGUCUCACACGAUUGAAUUUAGUUCAAGUGAGGAAGAAAUACACACAAACUAUUAUAUAUGAGGAUUGAAAAAUACACUACAAAAUCUUGUGAUAACAUUUCUAAUAUUCCUUUCUAUCUACAUUUUGUGAUAAGUUUUUUUUUUCCUUUUUUGAACAAACUAUAUUUAUCUACAUUAAGGGAGAGGAGGUGAUCUUAGCCUCACAAUGGGCUAGCAUAAUGUGGUUCAAAUUCGCCUUUGGCGAUAAUCGAACCUAAAACUUAUCAUUUACAAGUAAAUAGGAAUACCACUAGAUGGAUCAUGAAAUUAGCAGUCUUAUAGGUAAAAAAAAAUUGAUCGACUAAAUGAUGUGUUAAAAAACAAGAUUAAUACUUGCAUCUCUCCACUUGAAAAAUGUAGAUAUUUCUGUGAACACGGAAAAUUCCUGAAACGAAAGAGACAAGAACAACGUGCACAAAAUAAUAUUUUGGUGUUAAUGGAUUUGUUGGGUUACGAUCUCUUUUAACUUGAUCCUCUGAUUCGAUCUCCGUAAGGUGUUGAUUUAUGGAUGUUUCGUUGAUCCAAGGGCUGUUGAGGCUUGAUCUUAGAUGAACUGUUGGAAGUUUCUUCAAGGGGCCGUGGGCUUGAUCUUUGAAGGUGGAUUUGAGCGGAUCUUCAAGGAGCCGUUGGGGCUUGAUCUUGAGGAUGAGUGUUUCUUCAAGGGCCGUUAAGGCUUGAUCUUGAAUAACGGUGAUGAACGGAUCUUCAAGGGCUUUUGGGCUUGAUCUUGAAGAACGGUUGGAUGUGUGGAUUUGUUGAUGUUGUUGAUCCAAGGGCCGUCGGAGCUUGAUCUUGGAAGAACGAUGAACGAAGAACGAAGAACACUUUCUUCAAAGGCCGUCGGGGCUUGAUCUUGAAUUGGUGAUUGUUGAUCCAAGGGCCGUCGGGGCUUGAUCUUGGAAGAACGAUGAACGAAGAACGAAGAACACUUUCUUCAAGGGCUGUCGGGGCUUGAUCUUGAAUUGGUGAUUGUUAAUCCAAGGGCCGUCGGGGCUUGAUCUUGAUUCUUCGGGAUGAACGGAUGAUGAACAAUGAACACUUUCUUCAAGGGCCGUCGGGGCUUGAUCUUGAAUUGGUGGAAGUUCUUCAAGGGCCUUUGGGGCUUGAUCUUGAAGGUGGAUGAUUGUUGAUCCAAGGGCCGUCGGGGCUUGAUCUUGGGAUGAACAGUUGUGUGGAUUUGUUGAACACUUUCUUCAAGGGCCGUCGAUGCUUGAUCUUGAAUUGGUGGAAGUUCUUCAAGGGCCGUUGGGGCUUGAUCUUGAAGGAGGAUUUGACGAAGAACGAAGAGGGCUUUCUUGAUCCUUCGGGAUUUGCUUGAAUUUGGGAGGUUGGAUGCUUGAAAGCUUUAGAGUUUCAAAGCUUCAAGGAUUUUGGAUGUGUGGGGAGUAUUCUCUUCCAUUUUGGGAGUAGAGAAAUGUAUUUGUGAAUUGGUUUUUGAUACCUUGAUGUAGAAGCCUAUUUAUAGGCUUUGAGAAUGAAUCACCACCACAAAAUAUUUUUUUUCUUUUCCAAGCACCAUUGCCUAAUUUCCCACUUAAUACAAUUUUAAACUUGAAGUGGUAAUUUUAUGGCCUAAUUUUCCACUUAAUAUCAUUUUAAACUUGAUAUGUGCAUGCUUUGUCAUUGCCCAAAAUGAGAAGAAAACCUUGUUUUGAUCUUCAAUGAAUUGAAAUGUGCUUGCCUUGUCAUUGCCCAAAAUGAGAAGAAAAACUUGUGUAAUCCUUCAAGGGUAUUUCUUUUUAUUUUGUUGAGUCGCACACCAUGUGUACAAUUUGUAUGACACGUGGCAUAUGCCAUGUACGCCUUGACACGUCAAAAUUUUAAUGCGUUGGUGAACAUUUAUUUCACCGCAAUUUCGGUGUCUACAAAUGCCCCCACUUCAAGGUGCGUCGUAUACAUGUGCUUGUCACGUGUAGGAGAUGCGUUUUGAAGUCCCUUACUGUAGAUGUCAAUCCAAUGGCCAUCGAGGCUUGAUCUUGAAUUGGGCUGGAGAUUUCUUCAAGGGCCGUUGAGGCUUGUUCUUGGACUUUGUUUGAAAUUUCUUCAAGGGCCAUCGAGGCUUGAUCUUGAAGGUUGAAAUUGGACCACAAGGAGCUUCAUGUGGUAGAUGAUCUUUGGCUUUGGUAGUGGAUGAAUCGGCACGUAUUUGUUUUUGCGCUUUGUUGACUUUCCACAGCUUUGAUCUUGAACUGGGUUGGAGGAUUUUUUGGAUUCCUCCAAUUGUUGAUUUUCCACAGUUUAUUCUUGAACUGGAUUUGAUUCAAAUAUGGUGGACGCUUGAUCUUGAAUCGGACUUGUGAUUUCCUCAAGGGCCGUCGAGGCUUGAUCUUGAAUUUGGCCGGAAACUUCUUCAAGGGCCGUUGAGGCUUGAUUCUUGAAGGUUGACUCGAACACAUGGCAAGCAGGCACGAGGUGAAGGUGACGACUUGUUGCUUUGUUCAAUCUUUCUAAUUCACACCUGAGCAGUUUGGUCAACGGUAUGAUCUUCAAGAUUGAUGGGCUCUUCUUCCAGUUGGUGAUUUGAUCUUUAAGGAUUUGAUUCAAGGGUGGUGAAACGGCACAUGCAGCCCACAACGCCUAGCAAGUCGACCCAAGAAUUUGAGGGUUAAAACGAGUCCUCCACCCAGAGUGAUUGCAAACCUGAUGAUAUGAGAUACUUUUGAUUUUGAAGAAGUAGCGGAUGAAUCGGCACGUGCUUUGUUGUGCUUGUCUCCACAUGCUUCAAUGUAUCAUUUUCCCUUGUCUUAUCUAUUCUUCUAGCAGAAUGUAGCAUCUUCUUAAGUUCUUCAACUCAGACUCCUUCUGCUGAGCUGACUGUGCAGGCUGCAUUAUUCUCUGCUUGUUUCUUUAGGCAGAUGUGGCAGCUUCUUGAGUUCCUCAGCUCGGACUCCUUCUGCUGAGCUGAUUGUGAAGACUGCAUUCUUAUCUGCUUGUUUCUUCUGUACGUUGUCUCCACAUGCUGCAAGGUAUCAUUUUCAAUUGCCUUAUUUGUUUUCCAGGCAAAUGUGGCAUCCGAGUUUGAGUGGAGGUUCUGGCAUAUUGUUUUCUUUAUCCUUGUCUUUGUAGGUAAGAACAAGGACAAAGGAAAGGACAGGGAGAACGCAUGAUAUGAUAUACUCUUGCUUUCUACCCUGGUGAUAUGAGAUACUUUUGCUUUGGUGUCAUUUGUUUGCAGAGGUACCCCAAGGAAUAAGAAACACUGAGUGACUCGAGAGGCUUUGUUGGGAAGGCAUUCUAGGAGAUGAAGAAAGGUUCUUGGAGAUGAAGAAAGGUUCUCGGAGAUGAAGAAAGGUUAUGUAUGUCUGCCUUGCUAUGGAGGGUAAAGGUGGACAGUUAUAGGAAAUUCUUUAGUACCUGUAGAGGUACUAUUCUUUUACUCGUGUCGGCAACCAAUGUGUGAUUGAUCAGUAUGGCUUCACGUGUUUUCUUCUUUAUCAGAAAUCUUCGACAAAUUGUCCGUAAUUUUCGUCAAGCUGAGUGUGCAUGUGACAGGUGUUGACGAGGCUGAAAAAGACUGGUGCCUCUUCGAUAUCUGGGAUCGGCGCUUCGACAAAUUGCCCGUGAUUUCCGCAAAGCUGAGUUUGCGCGUGACGGGUGCUGACGAGGCUGAAAAAGACUGGCGCCUCUUCGAUAUCUGGGAUUGGCGCUUUAACAAAUUGCCCAUGAUUUCUGCAAAGCUGAGUUUGCACGUGACGGGUGCUAACGCGUCUGGAAAAGCAAGAUGCUUCUCCGAUUUCUGAGCUUGCCUCUUUGAUUUUUGAAUUGGCCUCUUCGAAUUCUGAGCUCGCCUCUUCGAUCUUUGAAAUCCCAUCGAGUGUUGAUCUUUAUAGAGGCACGCAGUUCGUUUCAAAGCACACUUGAAUUUUCGCUUGUAGAAACUCCCUUCUUGCACUUCUAAGAUCUUGAUUUGUCCGACCUCUUCUUUCUUCAACACCUUUGAAAAUGUCUGGACCCUCCGACCGUCAUUUUGAUUUGAACCUUGGUGAAGAGGUAGUCCCGUCUUCUCCAGAUAACAUAUGACGCCCAUCUUUCAUAUCCCCUACUGGUCCUCUUACCGUUGGGGAUUCGGUGGUGAAGAAUGAUAUGACCGCUGCGGUGGUGGCCCGAAACCUUGUCACUCCCAGAGAUAACAGACUACUUUCCAAACGGUCUGAUGAGUUGGCUGUUAAGGAUUCUCUGGCUCUCAGUGUGCAGUGUGCAGGUUCUGUGUCUAAUAUGGCCCAACGCCUAUUUGCUCGAACCCGUCAAGUUGAAUCAUUGGCGGCUGAAGUGAUGAGUCUCAAACAGGAGAUAUUAGAGGGCUCAAGCAGAGAGAUAAACAGUUGCAUAAGCUCGCACAUAGCUAUGCGACAAACAUGAAGAGGAAGAUUAACCAGAUGCAGGAAUCUGAUGGUCAGAUUUUACUUGAUCAUCAGAGGUUUGUGGGUUUGUUCCAGCAGCAUUUGCCUUCGUCUUCUGGGGCUGUACCGCGUAAUGAAGCUCCAAAUGAUCAACCCUUGGCUCCUCUUCUUCCUGGAGUUCCGCCGAGUGGUGUGGCUUCAAACAGUCAACCUCCGACGCCUCUCAUUUCUGGAGCUCUGCUGAGUGGUGAGGUGGCACCUAAUCGUCCUUGAAGAUCCCCUCUUGUAAAUUUGAUUUGAUUUUUUUUUAAGUAUGUAUAAUGCAAAUUUAUGUAAAAUUUCCAGAAAAAAUAAAUAAAAACGGACUUUAUUUCUCUCAAUGCAUUUGUUUUGUUUUGUUUUUGUUUUUUUUGUUUUUUUGUUUUUGUUUUUUUUGUAAAUACAUAAUAACAUAUGUAUUUAUUUAUUUAUUCUUUUGUAAUAAAAUUGACUUUCUUUAAUAAAACUUUUAUAUUUUUCUUAUUUAUUUUGAUAUGACUGAACUCGAAAUUGAAUGUUCGAGCCGCCUACGUACCCUUCCAAAGAAGAGAUCAAGCCAUAACGUAGUUCAAAUGAGUGAUGAAUUUAAUAGUGAUUUUGAUGAUGAUUUUGCCGUACACAGUUUAUGCUCUUGUGGGCCAGGAGCUUUGGUGUUGCCUUUUAUGCUCGUGCAGACCAGGAGCGUUGAUGUCGCCUUUUAUGCUCGUGUGGGUCAGGAGCGUUGAUGUUGCCUUUUAUGCUCGUGCAGACCAGGAGCUUUGUGCCAUGCAGUUUAGACUCGUGCGGGCAAGGAGCUUUGGUUCGUGCAGUUUAGGCUCAUGCGAACAAGGAGCAUUGGUUCGUGCAGUUUAGGCUCGUGCGAACAAGGAGCAUUGGUGUUGCCUUUUAUGCUCGUGCAGACCAGGAGCUUUGUGCUAUGCAGUUUAGACUCGUGCGGGUGAGGAGAAUUUGUGAAUUUUGUCAAGCACUUUUGGAGAGGCGUUCCUUACAAUCUUCAUAGCAAGGAGCCUUGACCGAGUGAUUGAAGAAGUCUUCGGGAAAGAAGUCGCACAUCGUGAUGGCAACAGACGAUCUUUGUGUCGUAAUUUCAUCAUCUUCAACACGUUCACGUUGCUUUGAAGGUUGACAAGAGCUGCUUUGCCCCCUUUCCGAUUGGCGGACUUGUGGAGGAGACGUAUGCUUCUUGUGCCAUUUCUUAGGAGUGACUUGAGUCCAUCCUUCAAGUUUGCUUGUUUUGGAGGAUGCCCCCGGCGGUUGAGGUGAAAAUUUUGUGUUGAAAGAGCCAGAAGUGAUGGUGGUAUAGUUUGACUUCACCACAUCGUCAAGAUCUAGCUCGAUGAUUCCUUUCUGAGCCCACUUUAUGAUGAGAUCUUUCAGCACAAAGCACUUUUCUGUCGGAUGACUGAUGAAGCGGUGGAAUUUACAGUAUCUUGGACUGUUGGUACGAUUCAUCUCUUCCGGCCAUCUGCACUCAGGCAAACUGAUCACCUUCUUGUCCAACAGGUCAUCCAACAUGGCAACCACAUCAGAGUCAGGGAAUGGAUAAGUCUUCUCUUUAAGCUCCUUCAAAGUGCGUCUACGCAUCUCUUGAUCACGAAAAGCUUCGGUUUGAAUCGUUUUGCCUCGUGUGGAGAUUUUGACGGGAGAUGUGUUGACUGUCAUUGCUUCCUUGGUGGAUUUCCACGUAGCCUUCUCCACCUUUGUCUCAAGAAUUUUGUCGUUCUUGUAGUCGGCGAUCGGUUCCUUCUUCCCAUGAUGGGUGAUGCUCAACUCCAUGUCAUGGGCGUGGGUGGCCAAUUCCUCGAAGGUCCGUGGUUUAAUGCCUUGAAGGAUGUAUUGCAAACCUCAUUGCAUGCCUUGGAUGCACAUCUCGAUUGAAGAGGUCUCCGAGAGCCUAUCUUUGCAGUCGAGGCUUAGAGUGCGCCAUCUGUUGAUGUAGUCAAUGACCGGCUCAUCUUUCCAUUGCUUCAUACUUGUGAGCUCCAACAUGCUUACAGUGCGGCGGGUGUUGUAGAAGCGGUUGAGGAAUUCCCGCUCCAAUUGCUCCCAGCUGUUGAUGGACUCAGGCUCUAGGUCCGUGUACCACUCAAAUGCGUUUCUUUUCAGCGAGCGCAUAAACUGCUUGGCGAAGUAGUCCCCCUCCGUCCCCGCGUUGUUGCAAGUUUUGACGAAAUGUGCAACGUGCUGCUUUGGGUUUCCUUUUCCAUCAAACUGCAUGAACUUUGGUGGUUGAUAUCCCAUCGGCAUCUUUAGGGCAUCAAUCUUCUUUGAAUAAGGCUUUGAGUACAACCCGGAGGUAUUUGAGCUCCCUUCGUACUAUGCCUUGACGGUGCUGGCAAUCAUCUCUUGCAACUGUUGGAUAGAAAGAGAUCCCAUGAGUGCCGCUUCUUGGUCUGGCUCCGGCUUCACAUCGAUUUUCUCCACCGUAGGCUCAUCUUCUGGGUUAGGGUUCUCGCUGUCCUGUGGCUCCAGUUGACUGAUGAGUGCAGCGAUUUGCAAGUCUUUUUCUUCCACAGUUCGGGUUAGCCUUGCGAUUGCUUCAUUCAUUUGAGCCAGUUGUUCUUCGAUGGAGGUAACGCCGAUGGUCAUGACUUGUGCAACCAAUAGACGUGACUUUCCUUUAGACAUCCAAGAUGCUGAAGAAGAACGUCAUUGGUUGUUUUGGGAUGUCAUCUUGUGUGCCUCAGCAACAUGCUUUGGUGCCCCCAGCGAGGUCAGGUUGAUGACAGACUCACACCUUUGAUGCUCCCUUUGCUCUUUUAGCGGCACCAACUUUGAAGUGGCAUGUUAAGGAGCGGUUGUGGUGCUAAUGGAUUGUCCAUUUGCGGCAGAAGUGCUUAGGAUCCUUCCCUCAGUGAUUGCGAGAACGGCUUGUCCCUUGCUUGAUGCCAUUGAUUUUGAGGUGUGUUUGGAUUCCUUAAACGGAGAAAGAUAUGAGAGGUAGAGAUUGUCCCACCGGGCGUGCCAAUUUGUGAACACGAAAAUUUCCUGAAACGAAAGAGACAAGAACAACGUGCACAAAAUAAUAUUUUGGUGUUAAUGGAUUUGUUGGGUUACGAUCUCUUUUAACUUGAUCCUCUGAUUCGAUCUCCGUAAGGUGUUGAUUUAUGGAUGUUUCGUUGAUCUAAGGGCCGUCGAGGCUUGAUCUUGGAUGAACUGUUGGAAGUUUCUUCAAGGGGCCGUGGGCUUGAUCUUUGAAGGUGGAUUUGAGCGGAUCUUCAAGGAGCCGUUGGGGCUUGAUCUUGAGGAUGAGUGUUUCUUCAAGGGCCGUUAAGGCUUGAUCUUGAAUAACGGUGAUGAACGGAUCUUCAAGGGCUUUUGGGCUUGAUCUUGAAGAACGGUUGGAUGUGUGGAUUUGUUGAUGUUGUUGAUCCAAGGGCCGUCGGGGCUUGAUCUUGGAAGAACGAUGAACGAAGAACGAAGAACACUUUCUUCAAAGGCCGUCGGGGCUUGAUCUUGAAUUGGUGAUUGUUGAUCCAAGGGCCGUCGGGGCUUGAUCUUGGAAGAACGGUGAACGAAGAAUGAAGAACGAAGAACACUUUCUUCAAGGGCCGUCGGGGCUUGAUCUUGAAUUGGUGAUUGUUAAUCAAAGGGCCGUCGGGGCUUGAUCUUGGAAGAACGAUGAACGAAGAACGAAGAAGGCUUUCUUGAUUCUUCGGGAUGAACGGAUGAUGAACAAUGAACACUUUCUUCAAGGGCCAUCGGGGCUUGAUCUUGAAUUGGUGGAAGUUCUUCAGGGCCUUUGGGGCUUGAUCUUGAAGGUGGAUGAUUGUUGAUCCAAGGGCCGUCGGGGCUUGAUCUUGGGAUGAACAGUUGUGUGGAUUUGUUGAACACUUUCUUCAAGGGCCGUCGAUGCUUGAUCUUGAAUUGGUGGAAGUUCGUCAAGGGCCGUUGGGGCUUGAUCUUGAAGAAGGAUUUGACGAAGAACGAAGAGAGCUUUCUUGAUCCUUCGGAAUUUGCUUGAAUUUGGGAGGUUGGAUGCUUGAAAGCUUUAGAGUUUCAAAGCUUCAAGGAUUUUGGAUGUGUGGGGAGUAUUCUCUUACAUUUUGGGAGUAGAGAAAUGUAUUUGUGAAUUGGUUUUUGAUACCUUGAUGUAGAAGCCUAUUUAUAGGCUUUGAGAAUGAAUCACCACCACAAAAUAUUUUUUUCUUUUCCAAGCACCAUUGCCUAAUUUCCCACUUAAUACAAUUUUAAACUUGAAGUGGUAAUUUUAUGGCCUAAUUUUCCACUUAAUAUCAUUUUAAACUUGAUAUGUGCAUGCUUUGUCAUUGCCCAAAAUGAGAAGAAAACCUUGUUUUGAUCUUCAAUGGAUUGAAAUGUGCUUUGCCUUGUCAUUGCCCAAAAUGAGAAGAAAAACUUGUGUAAUCCUCCAAGGGUAUUUCUUUUUAUUUUGUUGAGUCACACACCAUGUGUACAAUUUGUAUGACACGUGGCAUAUGCCAUAUAUGCCUUGACACGUCAAAAUUUUAAUGCGUUGGUGAACAUUUAUUUCACCGCAAUUUCGAUGUCUACAAUUUCAUUUCUUGUGAAUAAUGUUUAUCCUGUGUUCUGUCCAAUCGCGUAUUAAAAAAUGUGUGAAGUUUGGAUUAACCACACUCUUUUAGAAUUUCCUUUAUUUACCACUUUUUGAGAAUUUCCAAUAAGACUGGGUGAGUCUCCGCUGAGAAUUUCCUCAACUAACACCACACUACUUGAGGGAUAAUUUGUUAUAUCUUUGAAUAAAGAAUAAAACAGUUUCCUACUUUUGAAGGUACUAUUAACUUACACUAUAUUUGGAUGAAGGUCAAACUUUAUAAAUUGACAUACACCAAAUUCUUUGUUUGGAUUCAUAAACAUAUAAAUUUAGAAUUUCCGCGUGGAAAAAAAAAAUACUUAGAAUUUGAGACCUCCAAUUCUCAAAUUGAAAGUUUAAAAAUAAUAAAUUCCGUAUUCAAUUCAAUUGUUCUUUUAGGUUAACCAAAUAAGAAAAUUCACAAAUUCUAAAAUAUAAAAUCUCAUCAUUUCAAUUUCCGUCAUUUUAAAAUUCCUUAGUAAUAUUAAAUUUCUUCAUCCAAACAUAGUGUUAAGAAAUUUUUUAAAGAUACACUAUUUACACUCAUUUUUAUUUCUUACACAUUUAUUAACUUUGUCCAUUGAUUUCUUCAAUUCAUUUUGCCAGUUAUACAAAAAUUGAGAACAGUAUUUAUGAAUUAAAAAUACAUUUGUAGAUGUCACUACCAAAUUUUUAUUCCUAAUUCAAGAAAAUCUUAUCCAUAUAUGAUUGCCCUUGCCCACUUUAAAUGGGUGCCAUCACUUUACGAUAGAGCAAUCCUAACCGUCCACCUAGGUAAGCAUAACUGGCGAUGCAUGUCGCAAGGGGACCGCAUUGCACAAUAUAAUUAUACUAGUUGAUAAGACAAGUGAUGUCAAUCAAUAAAUUAUUUCAUUAAAACUUAGUUGUAUGUAUCAUAUGUUGUAAUGUAGGGUGUAUGAUAUGCUGACGCUGUAAAAAAAUGUAACCUUUUUAAUAUUACUCAUAAUAGUAAGACUUACCAGUAUUAGGAUGUUAUCAGUGGAAUGAGAAUCCUCUCCAGAUCUUUUUUGUGAGCUAUUAUUUGUAUUUAAUUUUAAAUAUAAAAAAUUAAAAUAAUUUAUGACGGCAGUGAUUCACAUGAUCUUCACAAAGAGAAUCCAAAUAAUCUUAAUUUAUAUCAGUGUGUCUAGAUAACAUGAUCGAGCCCCUUUACUUUUACCCUAUUUAGUAUUUUACAUUUGAACCUGUAAAUAUUCGAUUUUUCUUUGGUGCAACCGAGCACCAAAUAUAGAUUUUUUUUCACUUUUAUAUAAUGAUAAAUAAAGGGCAAUUGGCAGAUUUGAAUUCCAUUCGGAUUGGUCAAAAAUCAUUUUAAAUUGUUUUAUUUAAAAUUAAACACAUAUAGUACUUAAUAAAAAUUAGUCGUACAAUAUACGAUAAACAGAUAUAAUGUAAGGACCUUUAUGAUCUUCACAAAAAAGAUCCAAAGGUUGUGUAGCUGUUUCAAAAGGAUAAUACUCACUUUUGAUUAGUUCAAUGAAAUUUUAAACAUGUUUUAUUGUUUUAAAAAAUAAUAAACAUAUUUAUUAAUGUUUGUUUUACUUUAAAAAAUAAGCAGCACUUGACAACAUUUGAUUGUGCUAAAUAAAAAAUGAGUGACCACUUAGUACUACAGUCUUAUGAUAUUUUUCUUCAUUUGAAAGUGAGAGGUUUUAAGUUCGAAUCUCGUGGAUGACGAAUUUGAUAUCAAAUUAGAUUGCUCACUAUGUGGCUUAGCCGAACUCUCAUUUCCUUUAAUGUAAAAAUAUUGAUGUAUUCAAAAAAAUAAAAAGUGACUAUAGAGGACACUCAAUCUCAGCUGUAUGAUUAAAUCAGACGGUAAGAAAAAUUCUGCAAGCAUACUCGGUUACAUUAAUUGAAGAAAAAAUGGGUAAAUAUUGGGCACCAACGUUAUAAAUACCCUCCACCAUGCACCCAACUCCCUCACACCAUCACAACCCACGUUACAAAUCCUCCUCCUCAUCAUAACCAUUCUGUUUUCCGCAUAAUAUCCAAAAACCUAUCAUGUCUGAAGAGAAACACCACCGCGGUCUCUUCCACCACCACAAGGAUGAAGACAAACCCUCAGACUACCCUCAGUCUGGCUACUCUGAUGAAGGACGUCCCGGCGGCCUCGGUGGUGGUUACGGCGACACCAAUGAUUAUUCUGGUGAAGGACGUACCGGCGGCCUAGGUGGUGGCUAUGGCGACACCAAUGCUUAUUCUGGUGAAGGACGUCCCGGCGGCUAUGGCGGCUAUAACGAGACCACUGCUUACUCUGAGGAAAGAGUUGAAAGACCCGGCGGUGGCCGGUACAGUGAGACUACUGCGGCAUAUGGCAGCACCACCACUCAUGAAUCUGAACUUGAUUACAAGAAGGAGGAGAAGCACCACAAGCAUCUCGAGCACCUCGGCGAGGCCGGUGUAGCUGCUGCCGGCGCUUUUGCCUUGGUACGUAUUGUAUUUUAACCCACCUCUAUAUAUAUAUAUAUUAGAAUAAUGCUAAUAAGACCAAAUUUUGAAAACUAAAUGAUGUGGUUGUUGAUAAUGAACUUAUUACUCAAGUCUUGAUUAACAUGCUUAUUUUCUAAUAGUGACACAUUAUUUGGUUUAGAAAUUUGGUCUUCCUAACUUUAUCAUUCUCAAAAUUUUCAUGAUUUUGAUAGGGUAAUACGGGAGAUCAAAAUUUCUAAACCAAAUUUGCAAACCAAUAGAUGAUUGGAUUAUUAAUUAAGUAUCGAUUGUUUGUUUCUUAUUAACGACAUAUCAUUUGAUUUACAAUUUAGUUAAAAAAAAUUUAUUCUUUCUGUCAUAUCCUUUUGAAUAUUUGAUCACUUUACUCUUUAUCACUUUACCCUUGAUCACUUUACCCAUACUCUUGCAACCGAAUCACCGUCCUCCUCCUUAACCUUCAUUUUUUUGUCUUACAGUACUCCAAUCUAUCAACUCUGUCCAUUGCAACUUUAAUUGUGAAGAAAAUUAAAGUCCUAUCGUAAAAUUAAUUAGUGAUAUGGAGAGUUGCGCAAUUAUUGAUGGACUAGGUAGGUAAGAUACGGAAUCAAAGUCUACCAUUAACAAUGGACGGAAUUGAUGAACCAUAUAGGUAUGUAAGAUACGGAAUCAAAGUCCUCAUGUAAAUGGUACAGUUGCAAUCAGGAGAAGAAAUGAGUUAACUGAUACCUUCGUAAUAGUUCAUGUAGAGUUUUGAUAUUAUUAAGCCUUAACCACCUGAUCUUAUAUAUACGAGGACAAAUCUAAUCAAAUAUGUGUUAAUUUCAAGGUUUGUUUUACAUUGAUGUGAGAUCGAUGCUAGCAAGAUAUAUAACUUAUGUCAGUUUCUAUAUGAUGUGUGUAGCAUGAGAAGCACAAUGAAAAGAAAGACCCAGAGCAUGCCCACAGGCACAAGAUAGAAGAGGAGAUUGCUGCAGCAGCUGCAGUUGGUUCGGGUGGAUUUGCCUUCCAUGAGCAUCAUGAGAAGAAAGAGACAAAGGAAGAAGAGGAAGAGGCUUAUGGAAAGAAGAAGCACCACCACUUCUAGAUCUAUGUGGAUUGUGGAACAUCAUCUUUUGACUACAUAUGCAAUGUUGUGUUUUUACUAGUUAUCAUGUGGUGUGAUCAGUGAGAGUGUGAUGCUUAAUCUCAACAAUAUCG